RNAcentral lists this ribosomal RNA (253 nucleotides) under uncultured bacterium. RNAcentral describes it as "partial 16S ribosomal RNA". It matches the Rfam family "Bacterial small subunit ribosomal RNA", at positions 524 to 776 of the family's 1533-position model. The record is from RNAcentral.
UACGUAGGGUGCAAGCGUUGUCCGGAAUUAUUGGGCGUAAAGAGCUCGUAGGCGGCUUGUCACGUCGACUGUGAAAACCCGGGGCUCAACUCCGGGCCUGCAGUCGAUACGGGCUGGCUUGAGUGCGGUAGGGGAGACUGGAAUUCCUGGUGUAGCGGUGAAAUGCGCAGAUAUCAGGAGGAACACCGGUGGCGAAGGCGGGUCUCUGGGCCGUAACUGACGCUGAGGCGCGAAAGCUAGGGGAGCAAACAGG